This 589-nucleotide ribosomal RNA is filed under the name Moesziomyces antarcticus. RNAcentral describes it as "partial large subunit ribosomal RNA". It matches the Rfam family "Eukaryotic large subunit ribosomal RNA", at positions 81 to 657 of the family's 3401-position model. The record is from RNAcentral. Lineage: Eukaryota; Fungi; Basidiomycota; Ustilaginomycetes; Ustilaginales; Ustilaginaceae.
UAGUAACGGCGAGUGAACCGGGAAGAGCUCAAAUUUGAAAUCUGGCGUCCUCCGGGCGUCCGAGUUGUAAUCUAUAGAAGCGUUUUCCGCGCCGGACCGUGUAUAAGUCUCCUGGAACGGAGUAUCAAAGAGGGUGACAAUCCCGUGCUUUACACGAUGACCGGUGCUAUGUGAUACGUUCUCUACGAGUCGAGUUGUUUGGGAAUGCAGCUCAAAACGGGUGGUAAACUCCAUCUAAAGCUAAAUAUUGGUGGGAGACCGAUAGCGAACAAGUACCGUGAGGGAAAGAUGAAAAGCACUUUGGAAAGAGAGUUAAACAGUAUGUGAAAUUGUUGAAAGGGAAACGAUUGAAGUCAGUCGUGUCCAUUGGGUUCAGCCGGUCCUGCCGGUCUACUCCCUUUGGACGGGUCAACAUCAGUUCUGACCGGCGGAUAAUGGCACGAGGAACGUGGCACCCUCCGGGGUGUGUUAUAGCCUCGCGUCGCAUACGCUGGUCGGGACUGAGGAACGCAGCUCGCCUUCAUGGCCGGGGUACGCCCACGUACGAGCUUAGGAUGUUGACAUAAUGGCUUUAAACGACCCGUCUUGA